Molecule: long non-coding RNA, 2445 nt
Organism: Nicotiana tabacum (common tobacco)
Lineage: Eukaryota; Viridiplantae; Streptophyta; Magnoliopsida; Solanales; Solanaceae
Source: RefSeq, a predicted model, not a curated record
GCACUUUUAGGAAUAUUAUGUCUUACCAUACAAGGCAAGAAAAUAGCAAAAAAGGAGGGAAAGCCAAAAUACCAAAAAAAAUAAAAAAAUCUUGCACACACUGAUACACUUUAACCACACACAGUUACUCAGACCCUCACUGGUACUCGUCCUCACAGAAUGAGACACAUAAACUCUACACUCUAUAUAGUCAGAGUUUCAUCACCCGGAAAAAACAGAAAAAAGAAAAAAAUGUUGCUUCUUCUUUGGAUCAAGUUUCAUGUCUCCAUAGUGGCCGUCAAUCUUCGAUAUUCAGUUGUUAGACAACAUUUUGCGAUAAUAAGUAAAAUUCCUGAGACGAGACUUGUUUUGCGACCAAAGUAAGUCAACAUUUUGUGACAAUAGUCUGAUUUAUAUUUGCUUCUCAAAAGAAACAACAUGCCUUUUUACCUUUUUGUUUUCUUUCAUUUGUGUCCUCUGUUGCAAAGUGGAUCUGGCAUAUUUAUGCUGUAAAAGAAGCUCAAAUGGAUCUUUUUUGAGUAUUGGCUUUUCAUCUUCAAACUGUUUUCUCCUAUUUUUUUUUUAUUUUUUUUUUACCAAAGUGAGGAAGAAGGGCAUGGAGAGGUUGAAGAUAAAAAAAAUCAUGCUCUAUUUUUUUCAUUCUACUGCUAGUGCUCCUAAGUCUGGGAUACAUGAAGGCACUUGUUGGUAUUACUAAUUAGCGUCCUCAUUUUCAUAUUUGUGUUCUUUCCUCAUUCCUUAUUGGCUCCAACCCAGAGCAAGAUGUCAUGAUUUAAGUUUUAUGUCAAUUGCUAAAAAUAGUUAUCGAUAUAAACCUUGCUUGUUGGGAUCAGUUGUCUCUUUCAGCGAAGGAGUCUGUUCAUUAUGUUGGGACAUUAUUUGUUCUGCAUAUUUCAUUUUAAAUUUCAAGAUGCUAUGUUGUCAUCCAGUACGUGUGUAUUGUUGGAGAAAAGAUCUCUGAUGUAUCAGAAAGUAUUUUAUUUUUAUAGAUAGUUUCAGAUCUUAGAGAUUGACUAUGUUUUCUCUUUUUUAUUGCUAGAUUUAGUUCUUUAUGGAUAAAGCUUGUUAGAGUUAUGAACUUCUCUUCUCUUUUUAUUUAUUUAAUUCUUUCUCUUUCAUGUUCUUUUAGUAUUACUUAGGCGAUUAAUUUUAUACUUCAGUGUAUGUGUACUAUGCCAAAAUCAUUUGAUUGUUUAUUGAAAUCAGUGAGAUGCCACUCAAACUACUGUUUCUUGACUUUGAGAAUCUACCAAUCUCUGAUUCUUGAAGUAAAGGUGUAUAAAAGAUUUUUUUGGCUUUCUUACCCUCUCUUCCCAUGCUUGUCCUAAGACAUAUUGCACUAAGAAUUGACAUUGGCAAUAACUUAUAGAAAAAGAAUUGAAUUUGACGAUAUCAAUGAAUCACUCUUCUAUGCCCUCUUAACUAUUUUUAAGUUUUUUGAUUUAUAUUGUCAGUUUGAUUUGUUGCAGCUUUCUCAGAAUCUCUGUUUGUUUGUCUUUGGUUUUCUUAUUUAUGUUUCUUUCCUUGAGACGGUGAGAUGAGGGUUUUAGAAGGAGCAAUUGUUACCAGAUUCCAUUGUUAUCAGACGGUGAGCAAUUUUUUUGGUACUCAGAAUCACUCUUCUUUUGUACAUUGCAAGUGCUUAUCUGUGACUAUAUUCUGUGGUAAUUUCAUUGACUAUAUUCUGUGGUAAUUUCAUUCUCUUUUUUAAGGUUUUAUUUUUUGGUGAUUAGUUAUGGUGCCAACAUGGAGACUUCAUUCUUUGAAUACCCAAGUUUGGAUUUAUAUAUUGAUAUUAUGUGAAAUCAGAUAACUUUGGUAUAUUAGCUAUUUGACUGAUGGUCGUCUGUGUUCUCUUAUAUGUAAAAUUUGUAUAUAAUAACGUUUUGGUUGAAUAUCCUAAAUUAAAUGUUGGGUGUUGGUUUUAUUUGCCAAGUCUUUAAAAUAUAUAUAUGUACCUUACAAGUUACCUCAUUAAUCGUUAAUGCAUAAGUUUGGUUAUGUUUGUUUGUGCUUAAUUAAUCUUUUUGUCUUCCUAAUGAGCAUGGAUAACUAGUACAAUUCCUUUUCAUUUACUGUUUAUUUUUUUCUUCUUAAUAUUUUGACUAGAUAGAAUGAAGUUGCUUGCUGAUAAAAUUGUUAAGUUCGGAUUGGUGAGAAGGUUGAUGCCUGGGUAAAGAAACAAGGAGUAAAUACCAUACUUUACAAGUUGUUUGUGUACCACGGUGCUUAUGGCAUAGGUGGCAUAGUUGGUGUUUCUCACCGUAGUUAUCACACAUUGGAUAGCAAUAACAAGCAGUUUGGUAGGAUAGACGCACACUUGGAUUGCUCUGAAAGAUCAGAUUAGCAUCUCUUCGGGAGAAAGAGAACACAAAAAAGAAGGCAAAGGGGAAGAAAAGACCAAUGGAUUUGAGGGCGAAAAAGAAUACGAACAAGAAGGCAAAG